UGCGUAGGCGGUUAGGUAAGUCAGAUGUGAAAUUCCCAGGGCUCAACCUUGGAACUGCAUUUGAUACUGCUUGACUAGAGUACUGGAGGGGAGACUGGAAUUCACGGUGUAGCAGUGAAAUGCGUAGAUAUCGUGAGGAAGGCCAGCGGCGAAGGCGAGUCUCUGGACAGUUACUGACGCUGAGGCACGAAGGCUAGGGGAGCAAACG
Molecule: ribosomal RNA, 208 nt
Filed under: uncultured bacterium
Lineage: Bacteria
Description: partial 16S ribosomal RNA
Rfam family: Bacterial small subunit ribosomal RNA
Source: RNAcentral